UACAGUGAAACUGCGUACAGCUCAUUAUAUCAGUUAUUAUUUAUUUGAUGGUACCUUACUACAUGGAUACCCGUAGUAAUUCUAGAGCUAAUACAUGCGUCAAGUCCCGACUUUUUGGAAGGGAUGUAUUUAUUAGAUAAAAAACCAAUGCAGGCAACUGCUCUCUUGGUGAUUCAUAGUAACUUUUCGGAUCGCACGGCUUCACGUCGGCGACAGUUCAUUCAAAUUUCUGCCCUAUCAGCUUUCGACGGUACUGUAGUGGACUACCGUGGCAUUAACGGGUGACGGAGAAUUAGGGUUCGAUUCCGGAGAGGGAGCCUGAGAAACGGCUACCACAUCCAAGGAAGGCAGCAGGCGCGCAAAUUACCCGAUCCUGACACAGGGAGGUAGUGACAAAAAAUAACAAUACCGGGCCUUUUUAGGUCUGGUAAUUGGAAUGAGUACAAUUUAAAUCCCUUAACGAGUAUCCAUU
RNAcentral lists this ribosomal RNA (472 nucleotides) under uncultured eukaryote. RNAcentral's name for it is "SSU rRNA". It matches the Rfam family "Eukaryotic small subunit ribosomal RNA", at positions 77 to 549 of the family's 1831-position model. The record is from RNAcentral.